GAUUCAUAAUAACUUCUCGAAUCGCAUGGCCUUGUGCUGGCGAUGCUUCAUUCAAAUAUCUGCCCUAUCAACUUUCGAUGGUAGGAUAGUGGCCUACCAUGGUUUUAACGGGUAACGGGGAAUAAGGGUUCGAUUCCGGAGAGGGAGCCUGAGAAACGGCUACCACAUCCAAGGAAGGCAGCAGGCGCGCAAAUUACCCAAUCCCGACACGGGGAGGUAGUGACAAUAAAUAACAAUAUAGGGCUCUUUUGGGUCUUAUAAUUGGAAUGAGUACAAUUUAAACCCCUUAACGAGGAACAAUUGGAGGGCAAGUCUGGUGCCAGCAGCCGCGGUAAUUCCAGCUCCAAUAGCGUAUAUUAAAGUUGUUGCAGUUAAAAAGCUCGUAGUUGAACUUCAGAUCUGGCUGGAUGGUCUGCCUAACGGUAUGUACUGUCUGGCUGGGUCUUACCUCUUGGUGAACUAGCAUGUCCUUCACUGGGUGUGUUGGGGAACCAGGACUUUUAC
Molecule: ribosomal RNA, 504 nt
Filed under: uncultured fungus
Lineage: Eukaryota; Fungi
Description: SSU rRNA
Rfam family: Eukaryotic small subunit ribosomal RNA
Source: RNAcentral